UACGAAGGGGGCUAGCGUUGUUCGGAUUUACUGGGCGUAAAGCGCACGUAGGCGGCUUCUUAAGUCAGGGGUGAAAUCCUGGAGCUCAACUCCAGAACUGCCUUUGAUACUGGGAGGCUCGAGUCCGGGAGAGGUGAGUGGAACUGCGAGUGUAGAGGUGAAAUUCGUAGAUAUUCGCAAGAACACCAGUGGCGAAGGCGGCUCACUGGCCCGGUACUGACGCUGAGGUGCGAAAGCGUGGGGAGCAAACAGG
RNAcentral lists this ribosomal RNA (253 nucleotides) under uncultured bacterium. Its description in RNAcentral is "partial 16S ribosomal RNA". It matches the Rfam family "Bacterial small subunit ribosomal RNA", at positions 524 to 776 of the family's 1533-position model. The record is from RNAcentral.